CGAGGGGGCAAGCGUUGUUCGGAAUUAUUGGGGCGUAAAGGGUGCGUAGGCGGUUUGAUAAGUCUGAUGUGAAAUCUCUGGGCUCAACCCAGAGUCUGCAUCGGAAACUGUCGGGCUUGAGUAUGGGAGAGGUGAGUGGAAUUUCCGGUGUAGCGGUGAAAUGCGUAGAUAUCGGAAGGAACACCUGUGGCGAAAGCGGCUCACUGGACCAUUACUGACGCUGAGGCACGAAAGCUAGGGGGAGCAAACAGGAUU
This 255-nucleotide ribosomal RNA is filed under the name uncultured bacterium. Its description in RNAcentral is "partial 16S ribosomal RNA". It matches the Rfam family "Bacterial small subunit ribosomal RNA", at positions 527 to 779 of the family's 1533-position model. The record is from RNAcentral.